RNAcentral lists this ribosomal RNA (1264 nucleotides) under Zschokkella nova. RNAcentral's name for it is "SSU rRNA". It matches the Rfam family "Eukaryotic small subunit ribosomal RNA", at positions 369 to 1399 of the family's 1831-position model. The record is from RNAcentral. Lineage: Eukaryota; Metazoa; Cnidaria; Myxozoa; Bivalvulida; Myxidiidae.
AUCAGGGUUCGAUUCCGGAGAGGGAGCCUGAGAAAUGGCUACCACAUCCAAGGACGGCAGCAGGCGCGCAAAUUACCCAAUCCAGACACUGGGAGGUGGUGACGAGAAAUACCAGGUCGUUCCCAAAAGGAUUCGACACUGGAAUGAGUGCAAUUUAAAAAUUUCAACGAGUAACAACUGGAGGGCAAGUCUGGUGCCAGCAGCCGCGGUAAUUCCAGCUCCAGUAGUGUAUUCAAACGUUGCUGCGGUUAAAACGCUCGUAGUUGGACUAGAGAGUAACUUGAUGCGGGCGGGGAGUGUAAUUACUCUAUGAAUUCACUUGUUGAGUGAGCUGCUGGCAGUUUUGCGAAAGUAAAGCUGUCAAUGGGGAGCUCUUCAGGAUGAUGCGUAGUUGUGUAUCACUUGUCGACCAUGCUGCCAGGUUACUUGUAAUGUUUCGUGAGAAUGGUACAUGGUCUUUAUUGUACUGUGUGCUUUGUCUUACGUAGUGUGCCUUGAAUAAAUCAGAGUGCUCAAUGCAAGCAAUUGCUUGAAUGUUAAUAGCAUGGAACGAAUGUAUAGUGAAAGUGUGACAGUGAAGAUGACUCGUUGUCUUUGCUGUUACACAGCACCAACCGCGAAGCGGAGCAUUGGUUGCCGACUUCGGGUGAGGAUUAAGAGGGGCAUUUGGGGGCAUUAGUAUUUGGUCGCGAGAGGUGAAAUUCUUGGACCGGCCAAGGACUAACAAGUGCGAAAGCAUUUGCCAAGUAUGUUCCCUUUAAUCAAGAACGAAAGUGAGAGGUUCGAAGACGAUCAGAUACCGUCCUAGUUCUCACCGUAAACAAUGCCAACCCGGGAUCAGUUCGGAUGAUUUUGUUGGAUCCAGGUUGGUCCCCCUGGGAAACCUUGAGUUUUUAGGUUCCGGGGGGAGUAUGGUUGCAAGGCUGAAACUUAAAGGAAUUGACGGAAGGGCACCACCAGGGGUGGAGCCUGCGGCUUAAUUUGACUCAACACGGGAAAACUCACCUGGUCCGGACAUCGAUAGGAUUGACAGACUAAUAGAUCUUUCAUGAUACGGUGGGUGGUGGUGCAUGGCCGUUCUUAGUUCGUGGAGCGAUCUGUCAGGUUUAUUCCGGUAACGAACGAGACCACGUUCUUCAUUUGGGGAACCAGAGGACAGCUAUCGGGGGUUGUAGUGUUUUGAGCUUGUAGUGAGCAAUCACUGCAAGUUUGACUGCUAUACUUUUGUUAGUUGCACCUAUGGUGUGCGUGCAGCAAUGUGCGU